GGCUUUAAUGCCUUCAAUUACUUUAUUCAGCAUAAUAAGAUUGAAACAAGCUCAUUUCCCUAACCAAACACAUUCUGCUCUGCUGAAUACUGUGAUUAUGGGUUAAUUCACAAGCAGAAAAUGAUGAAACAGAUUCAAGAAACAACAAACACCAGAAAGAGAUUUGGGGGAGGAAAGCACUCCAAAAGAAGUGGAAUUACAUGGACUUUAGAAACAAACUAAAAGUAAAAUCAGGGUCAAACCCAGAACCCACCAAUUAUAACAAGCCCCCCCACCCCCGCUUUGCCUCUACAAGUCUGAAUUGUAUUGCUAAUUGAAAAUCACAAAUCCAUUCCAGAUGUGUGCAUCAUAUAAGUAGGCAGCUUGCCUUUGAUGAAAAAAGCUCAGGGCAACAGAGAUAAAGAAAAUAAAUCUCACCAAAUAGCAGCCAGGGGCUCCUUGCCGUUGUGCACACUGCCCUAGAUGGCAGUGUCCCAAACCAAAGGACAGCCUGGUAUCUACCGGGCACAAACCAACAGUUCUCAACAAGGGCAUGAUGUUCAAGUAGUUAUUGCCUGGAUAAAACUCCAGUGGGGACAGAACUGCACACACAGCUAUCUGCUGAAACCUCCUAGACACCUACCCUCCUCAAUGUUUAUCUCAGAUCUGUGGUCUUGUUCCCAGCCUGAAGCCCCCUCUGGCAGAAAAUCUAAAUUCUUUUCCAAACACAUAUUUGCUUAUAAAGCACCUGGGAAUUUAGUAUGGAAUAGACAGGCUGAAUUGAGUACACAGGAAAUUGUCUAGUAAUCUUGAUUCUGACAUUUGCUACAACAAUUAAAUGCUUAUUUGGGUAUCACUAAGAAUGCAGGAAUAAACAGAAUCAAGGGCAUGUGGAGCCCAGAUGACUUACUAUCUCCUAGAACACUGUAUAGACUCUUGUCACUAUUAUACCAACUUCACAGGUCUAAAAC
This 950-nucleotide long non-coding RNA is filed under the name Marmota monax (woodchuck). Lineage: Eukaryota; Metazoa; Chordata; Mammalia; Rodentia; Sciuridae. The record is from RNAcentral.